This 329-nucleotide unclassified non-coding RNA is filed under the name soil metagenome. RNAcentral's name for it is "partial contains 5.8S ribosomal RNA, internal transcribed spacer 2, and large subunit ribosomal RNA". The stretch from base 1 to 120 matches the Rfam family "5.8S ribosomal RNA", at positions 35 to 154 of the family's 154-position model. The record is from RNAcentral.
GAUGAAGAACGUAGCGAAAUGCGAUACGUAAUGUGAAUUGCAGAUUUCAGUGAAUCAUCGAAUCUUUGAACGCACAUUGCGCCCCUUGGUAUUCCGAGGGGCAUGCCUGUUCGAGCGUCAUUAUAACCCCUCAAGCUCAGCUUGGUGUUGGGGCCUGCUGCACUGGCAGCCCUUAAAAUCAGUGGCGGCGCCAUCUGGCUCUAAGCGUAGUAAUUCUUCUCGCUAUGGAGUCCUGGUGGAUGCUUGCCAUCAACCCCCAAUUUUUCUAUGGUUGACCUCGGAUCAGGUAGGGAUACCCGCUGAACUUAAGCAUAUCAAUAAGCGGAGGA